CGAAUCAUUCACAAUGGGGGAAACCCUGAUGGUGCAACGCCGUGUGGAGGAUGACGGCCUUCGGGUUGUAAACUCCUGUCACCAAGGAACAAACGGCAGGUUCAUAGCCUGUCCUGAGUUAACUUGGAGAGGAAGAGGUGGCUAACUCCGUGCCAGCAGCCGCGGUAAUACGGAGACCUCGAGCGUUACUCGGAUUCACUGGGCGUACAGAGUAUGUAGGCGGUUCGGUAUGUCAGGUGUGAAAGCCCGAAGCUCAACUUCGGAAUUGCGCCUGAAACUACCGGACUUGAGGCCUGGAGAGGGGAGUGGAAUUCCUGGUGUAGCGGUGAAAUGCGUAGAUGUCAGGAGGAACACCAAUGGCGAAGGCAGCUCCCUGGACAGGUUCUGACGCUGAGAUACGAAAGCGUGGGUAGCGAAAGGGAUUAGAUACCCCUGUAGUCCACGCCGUAAACGUUGUACACUAGGUUUCGGAGGGCCUACCCCUUCGGAGCUCAAGCUAACGCGAUAAGUGUACCGCCUGAGGACUACGGCCGCAAGGCUGAAACUCAAAGGAACUGACGGGGGCCCGCACAACCGAUGGAGCAUGUGGCUUAAUUCGAUGCAACGCGAAGAACCUUACCUAGGCUUGACAUGAACCGGAC
This 641-nucleotide ribosomal RNA is filed under the name uncultured organism. Its description in RNAcentral is "bacterial SSU rRNA". It matches the Rfam family "Bacterial small subunit ribosomal RNA", at positions 358 to 996 of the family's 1533-position model. The record is from RNAcentral.